Molecule: ribosomal RNA, 254 nt
Filed under: uncultured bacterium
Lineage: Bacteria
Description: partial 16S ribosomal RNA
Rfam family: Bacterial small subunit ribosomal RNA
Source: RNAcentral
UACGGGGGGAGCAAGCGUUGUUCGGAUUUACUGGGCGUAAAGGGCGCGUAGGCGGCCACCGCAAGUCGACUGUGAAAUCUCCGGGCUUAACCCGGAAAGGUCAGCCGAUACUGCGGGGCUAGAGUGCAGAAGGGGCAACUGGAAUUCUCGGUGUAGCGGUGAAAUGCGUAGAUAUCGAGAGGAACACCUGCGGCGAAGGCGGGCUGCUGGGCUGACACUGACGCUGAUGCGCGAAAGCUAGGGGAGCGAACGGG